AAAUUGAAGAGUUUGAUCAUGGCUCAGAUUGAACGCUGGCGGCAGGCCUAACACAUGCAAGUCGAACGGUAACAGGAAGCAGCUUGCUGCUUUGCUGACGAGUGGCGGACGGGUGAGUAAUGUCUGGGAAACUGCCUGAUGGAGGGGGAUAACUACUGGAAACGGUGGCUAAUACCGCAUAACGUCGCAAGACCAAAGAGGGGGACCUUCGGGCCUCUUGCCAUCAGAUGUGCCCAGAUGGGAUUAGCUUGUUGGUGAGGUAACGGCUCACCAAGGCGACGAUCCCUAGCUGGUCUGAGAGGAUGACCAGCCACACUGGAACUGAGACACGGUCCAGACUCCUACGGGAGGCAGCAGUGGGGAAUAUUGCACAAUGGGCGCAAGCCUGAUGCAGCCAUGCCACGUGUAUGAAGAAGGCCUUCGGGUUGUAAAGUACUUUCAGCGGGGAGGAAGGUGUUGCGGUUAAUAACCGCAGCAAUUGACGUUACCCGCAGAAGAAG
RNAcentral lists this ribosomal RNA (500 nucleotides) under Salmonella enterica subsp. enterica. RNAcentral's name for it is "bacterial SSU rRNA". It matches the Rfam family "Bacterial small subunit ribosomal RNA", at positions 1 to 490 of the family's 1533-position model. Lineage: Bacteria; Pseudomonadati; Pseudomonadota; Gammaproteobacteria; Enterobacterales; Enterobacteriaceae. The record is from RNAcentral.